UAGGAAUGAAGUAUGUGCCACUCCUACA
RNAcentral lists this non-coding RNA (28 nucleotides) under Mus musculus (house mouse). Lineage: Eukaryota; Metazoa; Chordata; Mammalia; Rodentia; Muridae. The record is from RNAcentral.